GACAGAGGUGGCGAGCGUUGUUCGGAUUUAUUGGGCGUAAAGCGAACGCAGGUGGUUUGGUAAGUCAGAGGUGAAAUUCCGCAGCUUAACUGCGAAACUGCCUUUGAUACUGCCUUUCUAGAGUGCAUGAGGGGGAAGCGGAAUUCCGAGUGUAGAGGUGAAAUUCGUAGAUAUUCGGAGGAACACCGGUGGCGAAGGCGGCUUCCUGGCAUGUAACUGACACUCAUGUUCGAAAGCGUGGGGAGCAAACAGGAUUAGAUACCCUGGUAGUCCACGCCGUAAACGAUGGGCACUAGGUGUUCGGGGUAUUGACCCCCCGAGUGCCGCAGCUAACGCAUUAAGUGCCCCGCCUGGGGACUACGGCCGCAAGGUUAAAACUUAAAUGAAUUGACGG
RNAcentral lists this ribosomal RNA (394 nucleotides) under uncultured bacterium. RNAcentral describes it as "bacterial SSU rRNA". It matches the Rfam family "Bacterial small subunit ribosomal RNA", at positions 524 to 916 of the family's 1533-position model. The record is from RNAcentral.